This 72-nucleotide transfer RNA is filed under the name Bos taurus (domestic cattle). It matches the Rfam family "tRNA". From Rfam's summary of the family: Transfer RNA (tRNA) molecules are approximately 80 nucleotides in length. Their secondary structure includes four short double-helical elements and three loops (D, anti-codon, and T loops). The record is from Rfam by way of RNAcentral. RNAcentral also lists the same sequence under 1 other name. Lineage: Eukaryota; Metazoa; Chordata; Mammalia; Artiodactyla; Bovidae.
UCCCUGGUGGCUCAGAUGGUAAAGUGUCUGCCUACAAUGCAGAAGACCCCAGUUCAAUCCCUGGGUCAGGAA